GAUGAACGCUGGCGGCGUGCCUAAUACAUGCAAGUCGAGCGAACGGACGAGAAGCUUGCUUCUCUGACGUUAGCGGCGGACGGGUGAGUAACACGUGGAUAACCUACCUAUAAGACUGGGAUAACUUCGGGAAACCGGAGCUAAUACCGGAUGAUAUUUUGAACCGCAUGGUUCAAUAGUGAAAGACGGUCUUGCUGUCACUUAUAGAUGGAUCCGCGCUGCAUUAGCUAGUUGGUAAGGUAACGGCUUACCAAGGCAACGAUGCAUAGCCGACCUGAGAGGGUGAUCGGCCACACUGGAACUGAGACACGGUCCAGACUCCUACGGGAGGCAGCAGUAGGGAAUCUUCCGCAAUGGGCGAAAGCCUGACGGAGCAACGCCGCGUGAGUGAUGAAGGUCUUCGGAUCGUAAAACUCUGUUAUUAGGGAAGAACAAAUGUGUAAGUAACUGUGCACAUCUUGACGGUACCUAAUCAGAAAGCCACGGCUAACUACGUG
RNAcentral lists this ribosomal RNA (497 nucleotides) under uncultured bacterium. RNAcentral's name for it is "partial 16S ribosomal RNA". It matches the Rfam family "Bacterial small subunit ribosomal RNA", at positions 28 to 507 of the family's 1533-position model. The record is from RNAcentral.